Molecule: ribosomal RNA, 423 nt
Filed under: uncultured bacterium
Lineage: Bacteria
Description: bacterial SSU rRNA
Rfam family: Bacterial small subunit ribosomal RNA
Source: RNAcentral
GGAAUUUUGGACAAUGGGCGAAAGCCUGAUCCAGCAAUGCCGCGUGAGUGAAGAAGGCCUUCGGGUUGUAAAGCUCUUUUGUCAGGGAAGAAACGGUCGUGGCUAAUAUCCAUGGCUAAUGACGGUACCUGAAGAAGAAGCACCAGCUAACUACGUGACAGCAGCCGCGGUAAUACGUAGGGUGCAAGCGUUAAUCGGAAUUACUGGGCGGAAAGCGUGCGCAGGCGGUGUUGUAAGUCUGAUGUGAAAUCCCCGGGCUCAACCUGGGAAUUGCAUUGGAGACUGCAAGGCUAGAAUCUGGCAGAGGGGGGUAGAAUUCCACGUGUAGCAGUGAAAUGCGUAGAGAUGUGGAGGGACACCGAUGGCGAAGGCAGCCCCCUGGGUCAAGAUUGACGCUCAUGCACGAAAGCGUGGGGAGCAAAC